UCCAGUAGAUGGUGCUAUAGCACAAUUUUUCCCCCAACCCGCACUACUGGUUCUUUGGAGCUACAGUUGUGGUGAUGGGGUGUUGCUGAGGCCCUGGGGAUUGCUGCCUAGGUGACCGGGGUGGUAGGUAUCCCUCCUGUAUCUUGGUUGACUAGAUCUCACGGCACCACCCCCCUGGUUGAGGAUGUAGUGGGUGACGAUGAGGGGAACAGGGAGCACUGUGGUUUAGGUAGUCCAGACUCGUCUUCACUGCUACUUCGGCACCAGUGGGGGAUCAGGGAGUUUGAUUCUUGGUGCCUACAGUAGAAACCCUUACUCUCUGCUGGGUUGUAGUGAGGCUGCAUCCCAACCAUUUCACUGCUACCGCCUUAUCUGGGGCCUAGGUGGCCAGGGAAUUCUGUGGGCACCUUCCCUGUCCUGCUGCCAUGUAUUCCAAUAUGUCCACUUUCAGAUAUACAGGUAUGUGGAUCUCUGGUGUGUUUAGAGAAGAAACUGUUGGAUUAUAGGUAUCGCCCCAGUUGUAAAUUUAAGGGGGAGAUACAAAGGAGUUUUCUAACAACCAUAAUGCUUAUGAUCUUUAUUUGUACUGUACCUUAAUUUUAUUCCCUCCAAAUUCCCUGGUAUCUUCUAUUAUCAAUCUCCUGAAAUGAUCUAAUUUUUUACUAGUAUUAUCACCAGACUGAGCUUCCACCAACAACUCAAUUUAGUUUUUCCCACCCUGAAACUGGGUCUUUAGAUUUAUGCUUAUGGGUUUCUGCUCCAGUAAGUUGUGAUUCAAUUUUGGUCUCCAAUUUAGUGGGUUAGUGGUUUGUCUUGCGACCUCACCUCUCUUACGGAUUUAAAAAGAGCUGUUAAUUUUUCAGUUUGUUGAUAGGAUUGGAAUGGCGAUUUCCAGGUUCCUUACAUGCUGAACUAGAAACCACAAGUCAUUCAAGUAACACAUUUGGCCUGAGCCAACAAGAAUUAUAAUACACAGUACAAAUAUAAUUUUAAGAUAAUCCUCUUUAUAUUACCAUGAACUAUCUUUUCAGGGAAAAGACAAUGUAUUUAUCCUGUGAAUCUGAUAACCUUUUUAGCCUUGAUAAAAUCCCAUCCCACAUGC
Long non-coding RNA from Myotis davidii, 1102 nucleotides. RefSeq lists it as uncharacterized. Lineage: Eukaryota; Metazoa; Chordata; Mammalia; Chiroptera; Vespertilionidae. The transcript has 2 exons. The record is from RefSeq and is a predicted model, not a curated record.